This is a small nucleolar RNA of Cicer arietinum (chickpea), 88 nucleotides long. RefSeq annotates it as small nucleolar RNA Z161/Z228. The record is from RefSeq and is a predicted model, not a curated record. Lineage: Eukaryota; Viridiplantae; Streptophyta; Magnoliopsida; Fabales; Fabaceae.
AAUCCAAAUGAUGAAUAUGGAUUUACAUUUUUUUCACGACGGUCGUCUAAGUUCACUAUGAAGUAUUAAUAUGAUAUUUAUGAUGGGU